RNAcentral lists this ribosomal RNA (982 nucleotides) under uncultured bacterium. Its description in RNAcentral is "bacterial SSU rRNA". It matches the Rfam family "Bacterial small subunit ribosomal RNA", at positions 8 to 1034 of the family's 1533-position model. The record is from RNAcentral.
AGGGUUUGAUCCUGGCUCAGAACGUACGCUGGCGGCACGCCUAACACAUGCAAGUCGAACGAAGUAGCAAUACUUAGUGGCAGACGGGUGAGUAACAUGUAGGUAUCUGCCCUUUGGCCUGGAAUAACACGAGGAAACUUGUGCUAAUACCGGAUAAGUCUUUACGGAGAAAGCUUUAUGCACCAUUGGAUGAGCCUGCACUUGAUUAGUUUGUUGGUGGGGUAAUGGCCUACCAAGACUGUGAUCAAUAGCUGAUUUGAGAGGAUGAUCAGCCACAUUGGGACUGAGACACGGCCCAAACUCCUACGGGAGGCAGCAGUGGGGAAUCUUGCACAAUGGAGGAAACUCUGAUGCAGCGAUGCCGCGUGAGUGAAGAAGGCCCUUGGGUUGUAAAGCUCUUUCGUCGGGGAAGAAAAUGACUGUACCCGAAUAAGAAGGUCCGGCUAACUUCGUGCCAGCAGCCGCGGUAAUACGAAGGGACCUAGCGUAGUUCGGAAUUACUGGGCUUAAAGAGUUCGUAGGUGGUUAAAAAAGUUGGUGGUGAAAUCCCAGAGCUUAACUCUGGAACUGCCAUCAAAACUUUUUAGCUAGAGUAUGAUAGAGGAAAGCAGAAUUUCUAGUGUAGAGGUGAAAUUCGUAGAUAUUAGAAAGAAUACCAAUUGCGAAGGCAGCUUUCUGGAUCAUUACUGACACUGAGGAACGAAAGCAUGGGUAGCGAAGAGGAUUAGAUACCCUCGUAGUCCAUGCCGUAAACGAUGUGUGUUAGACGUUGGAAAUUUAUUUUCAGUGUCGCAGCGAAAGCGAUAAACACACCGCCUGGGGAGUACGACCGCAAGGUUAAAACUCAAAUGAAUUGACGGGGACCCGCACAAGUAGUGGAGCAUGUGGUUUAAUUCGAAGAUACGCGCAGAACCUUACCAACACUUGACAUGUUCGUCGCGACUUUAAGAGAUUAAAGUUUUCGGUUCGGCCGGACGAAACA